GAGAGAGAGAGAGAGAGAGAGAUUUGCCUGUCUAUCAGCAUUUGGGGUCAUCCAAGGAAAGCAAUCAGUUCAGAAGGGGCAAAAGAAGGGAGAGACGUUUCUCCGGUGGUGGGAAAACAUCCUGACGCCAUUAUCUUCAUCGCACACAGCUCAGCAUCUCCGGCGAUGGGUGGGACGCGCUCCAGGGCCCAGAGCCACCCUCGCUCGUCCGACAACACGUCUCUCUGCAGACUGCUGGCUGUUUGGGGGGCGAUGGAAAGACAACAGAACAACAUCGUACCAUUGUGUCGAGUUGUCUGGGACUCCCCUGUUUAGGUCCGACCGUGACUGGGCGAUAAUUGUCAACAUUUCCCUGGAUCCGAGCCUCUGUGAGUUUGCGUGCUUCUGCUGAUGUCUUCACCCUUUCACAUCUGGAUCCAAAUUCUCAAAGAGUUGCUCAUAUUCUUUCACGGUGGUUUCUUUUCCUAGCGGGAUCCUUUUGUAUGAAGCUUCCACCAGCCGAACUGGACACAACAUCCACGUUCCACUUUCUUUCCUGCUCAGCGUAGGUACAGCAAGAAAGGCUGGCUAGGUGUAAAUCCCUAGUGCUGUUUGGGGUCUAGUUCAGGGCUUCAGAAAUAGAUCCUGAUUUGAUCCGGAGCAAUUUGUGCUCUGUCUGAUUUGAUCUGUGCUCUGGAUCUGCAUUGAUUUGAGAAGCUUCCCCUUUGCACUGAAGGACUCAAGUGAGUGCAACCCUUCUGUUUUUUUUUGUUUUGUUUUGUUUUGCACUCUUGUGCCUGUAUUUGGGCAACUAGAUAGACCCUGAAGAGGAGAGGGAACAGCUAGCUUUUAAGAGGCUUGCAUUUUAAAUGUUUUCUUUUUAAAAAUAACAUGCUAAGAAAGUAAGCUGAUGCAGUUUGCACCUCAUCAUAUGUGCAUCUGAAUUAAUUAGUAAAUUUGCUUUACUUUAGCCCUGAAUGAAAUCUGGUGGUUCUUUUUCCAUCUGGGUCUCAGACACAUCGGUCUCAAGUCAGGCUGGUGCUGUUCAUAAUCUGGGCCACGUGGCUCUUUGCGCACGAGAGUUUUCCUCCC
This 1071-nucleotide long non-coding RNA is filed under the name Pogona vitticeps (central bearded dragon). RNAcentral's name for it is "lncRNA (ENSPVIG00000009004.1)". Lineage: Eukaryota; Metazoa; Chordata; Lepidosauria; Squamata; Agamidae. The record is from RNAcentral.